Long non-coding RNA from Mus musculus (house mouse), 1519 nucleotides. RefSeq annotates it as predicted gene, 46144. The transcript has 2 exons. Lineage: Eukaryota; Metazoa; Chordata; Mammalia; Rodentia; Muridae. The record is from RefSeq and is a predicted model, not a curated record.
CCAGUUAUGCUGAAACAGCUUGCUUUAGCUUCAAUGAAAAGUCUUGUACCAAUGAAUGAAUGGAACCUCUUUUCUGGCAUCCUGAGGAGGGUUUGUAGCCUGCAGAGCCACGAGGCAGUCUGCAUCUAAGAUACCCAGUCUGCAGUACUUUGUCACUGUGGCCAAGCUAAGAUGAGUGGCAAAGGCAUGGGUUGGCAUGUUCUCCCUAUGGCUAUCACAACCUUGGGUGGAGAGUAGCGUGCUCUAUUAGCACAGUUGAUUUCUCCAGCCUCAAGAAGCAGGGUUAUAGAUGAUUCUACAAUGUCCUUGGGGACUCUAUCUCUCCCCUGCUCUGUGCUGUGUUUCAUGGGUUGUGUGCAUGGUCUUCAGACAGUUGUAGAGGGGUAAUCUGGAAGGACUCAUCUAUAGAGAGGACAUUUGACCUUCAGGUUGAAAAGGUGCCAGUCCUAGGCAGCACCGGAGAAUGACCAGCUCUUACUGUCCUGGAACUGGGAGCUGUGCACCCCACUGGGACCACAACUCAAUGACAACUGGCCGAUGCUCAGCCCAAGGCCACCUGGGCUGGUGCCUGCCUUCAGGCAGAGCUAGGCGUCCAUCCAGCAUCCACAGCUCAUUAUAUUUGACUAUUUCUCUAUUCCUGGCAACAUCAUCGGGAGGGAUAUGCAAAUAAGAGAAUCAACUGAAUUUGUUUCACAGAACAAAGAACGACAUUUAAUCAGCACAAUAAAUACAUGUAGCCAUUUGCUGCAUAAGAUGACAGUUAAUGAAAGACGACUGGGAAGAAAGAAGGGAAAGUUUGGAGCUGGAAACAGAAAAGAACAAGGAAAGGCUGGGCCGUAAGAGCAGGAACGGCAAGUGGCACAAAGGUACAGUUGUUGAAACCCGAGGACCAGGCUCACCUGUCUGCAGAGGAAGUGUCUGAAGAAGCUAGGAACCUGAUCACCUUUCUCCUUCCUGCACUGCCCACACAACCACCUACAGAGGGCAGAGUCCCAGGAACAGAAGAGUCUCCUGCAGGGCUGGGCGGGGCUCCGCUGCCUCCUCUUCUCCAGGGGGCCCUAACAGAGAGCCAAGGUUGGACUCCAGCCCAGCUUUUUUUUUUCCCUGAAGAAGCCAACUGUGCCGAAGGUCAAGAUCUCGGAUGGGUCAGAGUGGGAAAGUUAACAUUCCCAAGGGGCUCAAGGCAACAGGAUUUCCUGACCCGGGACGAUUACCUUUCUCACACUGCGUGGUCACAGUUACUUCCUGCUAUUAUGCCAAAGAAUGAAGACAUUGCACUUGAUAGAAAAUGGGAAGGAGAGCUCUUGGCUCUAGGCUUUAAGGAGGAAGCAGGACCAGGUUAACUGCCCACUGCAAAGCUGCGGGGCUAGACCUGGCUCCACCCACCUCUGCCAUCAGCUGAAGAAUGCAACUCCAAACUUCUGAACCUCAGUUUACCUUUCUGUAAACAACAGGAAGGGAGGCUGGGAGGUAGAGUGCUGACUUGGGGACUUGCAGAUGAGAUAAAAUGGUUUGCAAA